CUUGAAAUGAACUAACACUACUGCAUACGUACCAGGCUCUGCAGAAAGAGAAAUACGGUCACGUAAUAUGGAAAGUUCAGGUGACAAGCCACCAGAAUCAAGAACUUUCAAGUACUUCAUUGCCGUUGUAAGAAGCCCUUGGCUGGCCAAUAUUUCAGCAUAACUCUCAAAUAGUUUACAUAGAGAUGCGCUGAACUUUUUGUUGCCAGUUGCCAAAGCAAGGACAAGAGUCUUCUCCAUAAGAUCCUAUCAAAAGAAAAGGGCACAAGAAUAUGAGCAGAGAAGCCUAACUAAUUAUGCACAAAACAUGGUAAGUGAUACACACUUGAAGAAGCUCGGCAUAAGAUCUUCCAUCGCGAUCGUUUGCAAGGCUCCUCGACCAAAUUUCUACUGUUCUGUCAACAUUGCCUGCGCAUAUGUAGCAGAAAACUGCAGCCAAAGUGUUACCAGCAGCCAUCAACUUUGAGGCAAGGGCAUCGCAAAGGCUGGCCCAUUGUUCUCCUUGUGCAAACUGUUUGCCAAUCAAUAUAAAAGCAGCAUUCGUUACAAAGUGGUUUUAUAGUGGCCAAAACUAAGUAGCAGUUACAUGCAUCACGUAAUACUGCGAGUUGUACAUCUCGGUUCAUGAGUCAACGAAAAUGACAUAUCACUUUACAUUGUUUGAAGAGCUAAAGUGAGAAGAGAAUAUAUUUUGAUCAAGUAAGGCAUGAAAAUAAAGAGUUUGACAAACUUACAGUACAGAGAAGAGCAAGAGUUUCUUUCCAGAACUUAAGCGACCUUGUAUAAAUAAGGCUCGUGAGAUCGUUGUUCACCAUCGCAGAAACAAUCUGAAAACAGAUUAACAUACAGUAGUUAAGAGGCUUUGCAACCAUAAAAAGGGAUGUCGAUUGCACUUGUCUACAUAUCAAGUUUGAAAGGAAUACAUGUAUAUACCUUCAUGUAAGGCGCACCACUCGUCUUCAAAUAUUUCUCACGAGUACUCUCCCACAAUGAUGUACCACCAACAUGAGCUAUAACUAAAGCAUCAGCCAUCUUAUUUGCAGAUAUACACUGAUCCACCGCUUCAUUGUAAUUUCCAACAACUAAAGCACGCUGGAUGGCAUCAUCAAAUACUUUGUCAGAACCUUCUUCCUCUUCUUCUGGUAUUUCUUGAGUUUCUUCCACUUUGGCAGAAGAAUCUGUGUCAGGAGGCAUAAAAUCUUUGGAGGAUGUAGAUACGGGUGUAUCUGGUUUAGAAGGAAGGUUGUCGAAAAAGUCUUCUCCAUUGUCCAUAGCAAAUGCAGCUGCCUCGUUAAUUUUCACAGGCUCAGGUGCAGUAUCCUCUAAUCCAAUGCCAUUCAGAUCUGACGAGAGCCCAUCUACUGCAUGAUCCUUUUCCACAGAAGGUAAACUAAAGCCAAGAUGGCUGAUCAACUUUGUCCUUGUCGUUCCUUCCUCUUCGAACAUGAUUUUCAGCAAGCUCCAUGUCUCCUUCUCCUCUUCGGAUCUGCGAAAUCAGUUAAUUGAAAGAGAGAGAAUUUAGUUGUCUUGUGACUUUGUUAAGGGCGAAUAUGAACAUUUUCAAUCACAAGGAUGACAUACUCAGUCUCUUCAGAUUUCUUCUCACAUAAACCCCUUAGAGAAGUCUUAUCUCCAUUUUCUAUGGCGGUUUCAAAUUCAGAAGUUCGACUCACCAAACUCUGUUCAGUUACCAGGCUGUGCAAAAACACCUGAGCAUGACAUUUAGUCAAACAAAAAGUGAUGAAGAAAAGGGUAUAACAGAAGAUAGCAUCAUUCCUAAAAACCUACCUCAGACGGAAUGCUUGAGGCCCCCUUCGGAGGAGGCUUUGCGUGAAACGAUACAAGCUUUCCCCCAAAUCCAAAAGAUGCACCAACCGGGCGCUUAUACCAUUUUGGUGCUCUUAAAGGAGCUGCAUGAACUACUGCAUACGUACCAGGCUCUGCAGAAAGAGAAAUACGGUCACGUAAUAUGGAAAGUUCAGGUGACAAGCCACCAGAAUCAAGAACUUUCAAGUACUUCAUUGCCGUUGUAAGAAGCCCUUGGCUGGCCAAUAUCUCAGCAUAACUCUCAAAUAGUUUACAUAGAGAUGCGCUGAACUUUUUGUUGCCAGUUGCCAAAGCAAGGACAA
RNAcentral lists this long non-coding RNA (2129 nucleotides) under Brassica napus (rape). RNAcentral describes it as "long non-coding RNA (BNAP_LNC008321)". The record is from RNAcentral. Lineage: Eukaryota; Viridiplantae; Streptophyta; Magnoliopsida; Brassicales; Brassicaceae.